RNAcentral lists this ribosomal RNA (853 nucleotides) under uncultured bacterium. RNAcentral's name for it is "bacterial SSU rRNA". It matches the Rfam family "Bacterial small subunit ribosomal RNA", at positions 58 to 916 of the family's 1533-position model. The record is from RNAcentral.
CAAGUCGGGCGAGAACCCGCAAGGGGGACAGCGGCAAACGGGGUAGUAACGGGUAGGCAACGUACCCUUCGGAUGGGGAUAGCCACGGGAAACUGUGGGUAAUACCCAAUAAUCUCUCUGAUAAUCAUCGUUAGAGAGCAAAGGUGUGAUUCCACCGGAGGAGCGGCCUGCUUCGUAUUAGCUAGUUGGUGAGGUAAUGGCUCACCAAGGCGACGAUGCGUAGGGGGUGUGAGAGCAUGACCCCCACCACUGGGACUGAGAUACUGCCCAGACACCUACGGGUGGCUGCAGUCGAGAAUCUUCGGCAAUGGGGGAAACCCUGACCGAGCGACGCCGCGUGUGGGAUGAAGGCCCUUGGGUUGUAAACCACUGUCAGAGGGGAUGAAGUGCGGGAGAGCAAUCUCUUCCGUUUGACAUAGCCUCAGAGGAAGCACGGGCUAAGUUCGUGCCAGCAGCCGCGGUAAUACGAACUGUGCAAACGUUAUUCGGAAUCACUGGGCUUACAGGGUGCGUAGGCGGCUUGUUAAGCAGGGUGUGAAAUCCCUCGGCUCAACCGAGGAAUUGCGCCCUGAACUGGCGAGCUUGAGUGGGAUAGAGGUGCGUGGAACUUCCAGUGGAGCGGUGAAAUGUGUUGAUAUUGGAAGGAACACCAGAGGCGAAAGCGGCGCACUGGAUCUCAACUGACGCUGAGGCACGAAAGCCAGGGGAGCAAACGGGAUUAGAUACCCCGGUAGUCCUGGCUGUAAACGAUGAGCACUAGCUGGCAGCGGCGGAUGCCGUUGCCACGUAACGAAAAGUGUUAAGUGCUCCACCUGGGGAGUAUGGUCGCAGGCUGAAACUCAAGGAUUGACGG